RNAcentral lists this ribosomal RNA (479 nucleotides) under uncultured bacterium. RNAcentral describes it as "partial 16S ribosomal RNA". It matches the Rfam family "Bacterial small subunit ribosomal RNA", at positions 28 to 507 of the family's 1533-position model. The record is from RNAcentral.
GAUGAACGCUAGCGGGAGGCCUAACACAUGCAAGCCGAGCGGUAGAGUCUCUUCGGAGACUUGAGAGCGGCGCACGGGUGCGGAACACGUGUGCAACCUGCCUUUAUCUGGGGGAUAGCCUUUCGAAGGGAAGAUUAAUACCCCAUAAUAUACUGGAUGGCAUCAUCUGGUAUUGAAAACUCCGGUGGAUAGAGAUGGGCACGCGCAAGAUUAGAUAGUUGGUGAGGUAACGGCUCACCAAGUCAGCGAUCUUUAGGGGGCCUGAGAGGGUGAUCCCCCACACUGGUACUGAGACACGGACCAGACUCCUACGGGAGGCAGCAGUGAGGAAUAUUGGACAAUGGGUGAGAGCCUGAUCCAGCCAUCCCGCGUGAAGGACGACGGCCCUAUGGGUUGUAAACUUCUUUUGUAUAGGGAUAAACCUAGAUACGUGUAUCUAGCUGAAGGUACUAUACGAAUAAGCACCGGCUAACACCGUG